This is a ribosomal RNA of 2375 nucleotides. It matches the Rfam family "Bacterial large subunit ribosomal RNA", at positions 591 to 2826 of the family's 2925-position model.
GGGUGACGGCGUGCCUUUUGAAGAAUGAGCCUGCGAGUUAGUGGCAUGUGGCGAGGUUAACCCGGGUGGGGGAGCCGUAGCGAAAGCGAGUCUGAAUAGGGCGUCAGAGUCGCGUGUCCUAGACCCGAAGCGGAGUGAUCUAGCCAUGGGCAGGCUGAAGCGUGGGUAAGACUGCGUGGAGGGCCGAACCCACCAACGUUGAAAAGUUGGGGGAUGACCUGUGGUUAGGGGUGAAAGGCCAAUCAAACUCCGUGAUAGCUGGUUCUCCCCGAAAUGCAUUUAGGUGCAGCGUCGUGUGUUUCUUGCCGGAGGUAGAGCACUGGAUGGUCUAGGGGGCCUACAAGCUUACCGAAAUCAGCCAAACUCCGAAUGCCGGUAAGUGAGAGCGCGGCAGUGAGACUGCGGGGGAUAAGCUUCGUAGUCGAGAGGGAAACAGCCCAGAUCACCAGCUAAGGCCCCUAAGCGUGUGCUAAGUGGAAAAGGAUGUGGGGUCGCAUAGACAACCAGGAGGUUGGCUUAGAAGCAGCCAUCCUUGAAAGAGUGCGUAAUAGCUCACUGGUCAAGUGGUUCCGCGCCGACAAUGUAGCGGGGCUCAAGCACACCGCCGAAGCUGUGGCAUUCACGCGUGUACUUCGCAUGGCCUUUGGGUUGUGUGUAGGUGUGUGGAUGGGUAGGGGAGCGUCGUGCCGGGGGUGAAGCAGCCGAGUGAUCGAGUUGUGGACACGGUGCGAGUGAGAAUGCAGGCAUGAGUAGCGAAAGAAGGGUGAGAAACCCUUCCGCCGGAUGACCAAGGGUUCCAGGGCCAGGUUAAUCCGCCCUGGGUGAGUCGGGGCCUAAGGCGAGGCCGAGAGGCGUAGUCGAUGGAUAACGGGUUGAUAUUCCCGUACCCGCGAAGGAGCGUCCCUGAUGAACCUCGUUGUGCUAACCAUCCGAGCUUGGUGUGGUCUUCGGACUGUGCUGGGGGAGCGUGGGAACCUGGCGGGUAGUAGUCAAGCGAUGGGGUGACGCAGGAAGGUAGCUGAGCCCGGCCGGUGGUUGUGCCGGGGUAAGCGUGUAGGCUGUGUCGUAGGUAAAUCCGCGGCGCGUGUGGCUGAGACGUGAUGCCGAGCCGAUUCAGGUGAAGUCAGUGAUCCUAUGCUGUCGAGAAAAGCCUCUAGCGAGUUCCGAGCGGCCCGUACCCUAAACCGACACAGGUGGUCAGGUAGAGAAUACCAAGGCGAUCGGGUGAACUGUGGUUAAGGAACUCGGCAAAUUGCCCCCGUAACUUUGGGAGAAGGGGGGCCGGAGACGUGAAGGCACGUGCUGCUGGAGCGUUGUAUGGCCGCAGAGAGCAGGGGGAAGCGACUGUUUACUAAAAACACAGGUCCAUGCGAAGAAGUAAUUCGAUGUAUAUGGACUGACGCCUGCCCGGUGCUGGAACGUUAAGGGGACCUGUUAGUCUUUCGGGGCGAAGCGGAGAACUUAAGCGCCAGUAAACGGCGGUGGUAACUAUAACCAUCCUAAGGUAGCGAAAUUCCUUGUCGGGUAAGUUCCGACCUGCACGAAUGGCGUAACGACUUCCCCACUGUCUCAACCACAGGCCCGGCGAAAUUGCAUUACGAGUAAAGAUGCUCGUUACGCGCGGCAGGACGGAAAGACCCCGGGACCUUUACUAUAGCUUGACAUUGGUAUCUGAAUUAGCUUGUGUAGGAUAGGUGGGAGCCGGUGAAGUGUGCACGCCAGUGCAUGUGGAGGCAAUCUUGAAAUACCACUCUGGUUGGUUUGGGUAUCUAACUUCGGACCGUUAUCCGGUUCAGGGACAGUGUCUGGUGGGUAGUUUAACUGGGGCGGUUGCCUCCUAAAGGGUAACGGAGGCGCCCAAAGGUUCCCUCAGCCUGGUUGGCAAUCAGGUGUUGAGUGUAAGUGCACAAGGGAGCUUGACUGUGAGACUGACGGGUCGAGCAGGGACGAAAGUCGGGACUAGUGAUCCGGCACUGGCGAAUGGAAGCGGUGUCGCUCAACGGAUAAAAGGUACCCCGGGGAUAACAGGCUGAUCUUCCCCAAGAGUCCAUAUCGACGGGAUGGUUUGGCACCUCGAUGUCGGCUCGUCGCAUCCUGGGGCUGUAGCAGGUCCCAAGGGUUGGGCUGUUCGCCCAUUAAAGCGGUACGCGAGCUGGGUUUAGAACGUCGUGAGACAGUUCGGUCCCUAUCCGCCGUGCGCGUAGGAUACUUGAGAAGGGCUGUCCCUAGUACGAGAGGACCGGGACGGACGAACCUCUGGUGUGCCAGUUGUCCCGCCAGGGGCACGGCUGGUUAGCUACGUUCGGAAGGGAUAACCGCUGAAAGCAUCUAAGCGGGAAGCCUGCUUCAAGAUGAGGUAUCCCAUCCACCUUUGG